AUACCAAACUGUUGCCUCGGCGGGGUCACGCCCCGGGUGCGUCGCAGCCCCGGAACCAGGCGCCCGCCGGAGGGACCAACCAAACUCUUUCUGUAGUCCCCUCGCGGACGUUAUUUCUUACAGCUCUGAGCAAAAAUUCAAAAUGAAUCAAAACUUUCAACAACGGAUCUCUUGGUUCUGGCAUCGAUGAAGAACGCAGCGAAAUGCGAUAAGUAAUGUGAAUUGCAGAAUUCAGUGAAUCAUCGAAUCUUUGAACGCACAUUGCGCCCGCCAGUAUUCUGGCGGGCAUGCCUGUCCGAGCGUCAUUUCAACCCUCGAAGCCCUCCGGGGGUCCGGCGUUGGGGAUCGGGAACCCCUAAGACGGGAUCCCGGCCCCGAAAUACAGUGGCGGUCUCGCCGCAGCCUCUCUGCGCAUAGAUUGCACAACUCGACCGGGAGCGCGGCCGUCCCGUCCGUAGACAGCCAACUUCUGAAAUGUUGAGUCGGAGAGGUCGAAUACCGCUGAAUUAACAUAUCAGUAAGCGGAGGA
This 529-nucleotide ribosomal RNA is filed under the name uncultured Ascomycota. RNAcentral describes it as "partial 18S ribosomal RNA". The stretch from base 152 to 305 matches the Rfam family "5.8S ribosomal RNA". The record is from RNAcentral. Lineage: Eukaryota; Fungi; Ascomycota.